RNAcentral lists this ribosomal RNA (253 nucleotides) under uncultured bacterium. RNAcentral's name for it is "partial 16S ribosomal RNA". It matches the Rfam family "Bacterial small subunit ribosomal RNA", at positions 524 to 776 of the family's 1533-position model. The record is from RNAcentral.
UACGUAGGGCGCAAGCGUUGUCCGGAAUUAUUGGGCGUAAAGAGCGUGUAGGCGGCCAGGUAGGUCGGUUGUGAAAACUGGAGGCUCAACCUUCAGAGGUCGACCGAAACCAUCUGGCUAGAGUCCGGGAGAGGAGAGUGGAAUUCCUGGUGUAGCGGUGAAAUGCGCAGAUAUCAGGAAGAACACCGGUGGCGAAGGCGGGUCUCUGGGCCGAUACUGACGCUGAGGAGCGAAAGCGUGGGGAGCGAACAGG